UUGCUACUUCCUCCGUCCGAAAAUACUUGUCUUAAAAAUGUAUAAAAUGAACGUAUCCAUCACUAAAAUAAGUCUAGAUACAUCUACUUCUAGGACAACUAUUUCUGGACGGAGGGAGUACUUC
This is a non-coding RNA of Hordeum vulgare subsp. vulgare (domesticated barley), 124 nucleotides long. The record is from Rfam. NCBI's taxonomy places the organism in Eukaryota, Viridiplantae, Streptophyta, Magnoliopsida, Poales, Poaceae.